This is a long non-coding RNA of Talpa occidentalis (Iberian mole), 10484 nucleotides long. RefSeq lists it as uncharacterized. The record is from RefSeq and is a predicted model, not a curated record. NCBI's taxonomy places the organism in Eukaryota, Metazoa, Chordata, Mammalia, Eulipotyphla, Talpidae. The transcript has 3 exons.
CAAAUCUCACCCAGUGAGCACAAUAAAUUUCUUGCCUGUGAGAAACUUAGCCUGGCUCUCCUUUUCUUUACUGCCCCAAUCCUUUUGUUUGGGGGAAAGGAUGUCCUGAGCUAAUUCCACACAGGCUUUGUGGACUCCACCCCCACUCCAGACCACAGCCAUCAGGACAUUGGGAAAGACAAAUCCUAUCACCACCAAAGGGAAGGUGGCUGGGACCUGAGGGUGGAGUUAAACUGCCAGGUGUGGUAUAAAAACCAAACACGAGGGCCUUCGGGGGCUUGCUCUCUCGCUCGCCUCCUGGCUUCAUGGCUCCAGGCUUGCGGCCAGCUCUCAGAGUGCCCUUUGGGAUUCCAGAUCGGCUUAUCAGAAAGUUAAAUUUGAGCUAAACCAAGGAGCAGAGAACCUGCCACUUUAUAUGGAAGCUUCCAGAGACCUCCAAAGAGGGUGAGGAAGCUGGCCUCCAUGGGCAGGACUGGACAUCCUGGAACAAGAAAAAAAUUAUGGUAACCUCGAAAAGAAGAAACCCCAGAUGGCAGCUGAUAAAACCAACUUUGUUUCUGAAGCCUGCAGGGACUGGAUGUCACACCUUCACUCUGAUUGUAUAUGGCAUAUUCCAACAAAGCCAGCGUGAAAUGCUGUUUGGUUAUCCUGACCUGUGAUGUUAUGCAAAAAUAGGUGAAAUGAUCUGAAAGUGGAUUUAGUUUCCAAAUAUUUUGCUGUAUUGUUGGAGUGAAUGGGGAUCAGCAUAGAUGGCACUUGUUUCUAGAUAAGUUACAUCAGCGUGGACUAAUUGCCAGGCAUGAAGGACGGGCAUACUGGACAUUCCUGGACAAUACUGGUAACUGAUUAUUGCUUCUUUUACAUACCCUAAAACCCUACAAAAUAUUGUCUCCUAAGGCUACACCCUGGGGUCUGCACUUAAAAAAAAAAAAAACAACAACAACAAAAGAAGGAGUCUAGAGGAUCACUUGUCCCCAUAGGUCCUUAUAUGCAGAGCUUGAUUUACAUUUAAAUUAUUGAAUGACAAUGCUUUGGCCUAGCAACUGGUGAGCAACAGCUCAUUCCUGAUUCCUCUGGUCUCAUGGCAAUACAACAACAUUUUAUCCCAGCAGAACCAAGUCUUAGGCCAUUGGUUGUAGAUCACCAUCUGUUGCAAGGACAAAUUUGGCUGGGACUUUAAAACAUUUAAAAUCGGGGAGAGGGUUUGUUUCUGUCUUAUCACUUAUAAAGCCAUGUUCAGUUAGAGCAAUAAAGGACCAGUCUUACUCCAGAGCUCCAGCCAUUAUUGAUACAGCCACCACCUGGGAUGCCACACAUAGGAAUCAAAAUGAAAAAGAGAAUCCCUUCCCAUGUAUUGUGCAGUCCUCUGGAACAUCAGAUCAAGACUCAAUGCCCUUGAGGUUGCUGUGUGCUGACGUGGUGAACAUCAACAGGUCCUCUGGACAUCACAGACUCAAUUGUGGUUUGUUGGGAUAUCAUUUUCUGUAACCCCUAUCCCUUUUAAUGCAAACCUCUCCUGAACAGAUAUUCAAAGACAACUUUAUGGUACAUAGUACAUUCCAUAUUAACCUUGGUCUUGUCAUGGAAUUUAGAGAUAAGUUAUUGCAAAUAUUCGCACAAUUGCAGCAAAAACACAAAUGCCACAAUGGCACAUUUGAAUGACAUUGGGUAAUGACUAUUUCCAACAAAUCCUCAAUGUUAUAAUUUGGAUGUUGUUUAAUAUUGUAUUAUUUUUGUAUAUUUUUACUGUACAGGAACUAAUUUGCACCCGUUAAAUUUUGUAAAACCUUUGAGGAUCAUCUUGCUGUUCUUUAUACUAGCUCUUGUUUAUGACAUCUGCUACUCUGUAGAGUGCUCUCCACAAGCAUAUGAAAAUGCCCUGGAAGUGAAAAUAACAGCACCACUUUAUUCACUAUGAAGGCUUUAUUAAAAAACAAACAAACAAACAAACAUAAAAGGGGGAGAUGUUGGAAACCCCUAAGUCGUGAAGUGCUGAGACAGGAAGCAGGGCAGUAUCAUGAUGGGAAGAUUGGUCAACACUGGCUGGAUGACUGGCCCAUGUCCAGACCAUGAUGUCCUUUCCUUUGUCACCAAAGCUAAGCCUGAGAAGCAAGGGAGUGGAAUAAACCCGAUGACACAGGACCUUGGUGGUGAGUAUGAGCCUGGACCAAGCUGAGAGUGAUUCAUUGUCUGGUGACUAACGGGGGUGGGGGUUGGUGGGGCGGUUUUUCAAUCAACAUGAGUUGCACUGGACACUCGGGAUUCCUGAGCCCAGAAUGUGAGUCAGUUGUCAUGGUUACCCUCUGCUCGCCCAAACCAAAGACCCAUCUCAGCCACCAGCAUAUGCCCUGCCUGUGUGCCCAGGUCUCAUGCCAUUCGGGUUCUUUUGGGUCAAUUCUCCCAAGUCUCUUCCUCACUGUCACAGCCUUGAUUGGUUGAGAGAACACAGACAACUCCUGUCUGGGUGGCCUUUUCUGGGUGGCCUCUUUCAGGCAGGAGGUCGGCAUGCCCAGGCCUUCUUUUCUGGCUACCUCCACGGUCAUGUGCUUGAAGACAAGCUAAGGAGUAGAGUCCCACAUUGGAGUGGACUUCCCGAGUAGCUUUCAGCAGAGGAAAAAAAUGUCAUUUCAUUAUGGUUUUUACUUGGAUUGUAUGACAACCAUGAGAAAAACAAGCCAGUAUUUCAGCUUUCCUGUCUCCAUGGAAGUGUUGUGAGUUUUCUGCUGGCCUGUCCGAGAGUUUGGCUGGAGACAAACCCUGUGAGCCUCAGAGCUUUCACCCUGAGGUUCUCUGUGCCUGAAAUGCCUCUUCCCUCACUUCCUUCUCCAAGAGCCACCUCCUAAGUGGGGCUUCCCAUAUCCCUCUGUUCAGACACACACCCCUCUGUCACCUUCACCUUUCUGCCCCCUCUCCAUCACACCUACUACUCCCUAUAUGACUGACAUGGCUGAUCCCUGCACCACCCCUCAUCCUGACCCCACAGCUCUGUGGCAAAUCAUGCCUGGCAGGCAGUGAGGCAAAUCUCUAGCCAUGAGCUGUUCUUGCUCGCUCCAGGUGGCUGGGCAUUUCUUCCUCCUGAGGGGUCUGGGCUCCCACACCCCCAUCUUGGUAGCCAUGAACACAGAGGUUCUUGCCACCCAUGGGUGUCAUCUCCAUUGUCUUCACAGUGUUGGACAGUUUCCAGGGUGCCGACGGGUCUCCUGGGGAUCCCCAAUCAGUGUGGGAUCUGAACCAGCCGGCUGCUCAGGAAUGGUUAAACAGGGACCUCUGAGUCCUCCUUGCCCAAAUGGCAUCCUGCCAAUGCUGGCCAGUGUUCAACAUCUAGUCCACCCUCCCCUGGUUCUUCCCUAACAGGUUCUCACCUCUCUGCCAUCGGCCACCCUCAGGAGAUGGCUCCUCACUUUCCCUUCCUUCUCAGCUUACCUUCUUCCCAGAUCCAAGGAGAGGGUGCUGCCUGCUGGGUCCUGCUGGACCAGGUUCACCCCCUCCCUUCCAAGCCCGCAGUCCCUCAGGCCCAAGCCAGGACUUCACUCCAAGUCUUGGGGGAGCCCUGACAGGAGAGGACAAGACUCACUCAGAGUGGUGACACCUGCCCCAAAUUCCUGCUGCAUCACCACCGUGUGGAAAUUCAAGGUGAAAAUAGAGGUAAAAAGCCCAUGUAUCCUCCAAAGAUUAUGACAGUGUCAAAGUACUGAGGUCAGUGGUGAAGUCUUGAGUGUCCUUAAGGUCUUAAGUGGAAAUGUUGGUGAGGAUGUCCAUUUUGUGGGUCUGUAUGCAGUGUCAUUUCAAAAUUGUUCAGAUGGGUUGAGCUUAUAGUAGAACAUUCUUUGUCUUCAUAGCAACCUUGAAAAUCGCCAUGUCAAAAGCAAUAAAGUACAUGGAUAGACACUGCAAGAGAUAUCUGCAGCAUCUUCAUGAUGCUCUUUCAUGGGUGGCUGACAUCAAUUCAUUAAGGGUGAACUGUUUUCAGAUAAAGAUAACCCCCCCUUUAAAAGAAGGGACUUUAAGGGCUCCCCUGGUGGCGCAGUCGGUUGAGCACAGCUCUGUGAAGCUGUCCGCAGCCUCUGCAGCACUGUUUGGAUCCCAGCCAGCCAGCAAAGUUCCCACAUGGGAUGACAGACCUCUCCUGUAUCGCCCACUGCUCCCCUCAGCGGUGUAUUUCAUCAGUCUCUCUGUUCUGUUCCCUGCUCUAUCUCUGGUGAAUCCUCCCACCCUCCCACACAUCUGGCCUGUACACCGGUUCUUGUAUAAGUAAAUCUUUAAAAGGAGGGGAUUUAGAUAUUGUUGGCAUACAUAUGGUUCAUUGAAACGUCACUGGUCAUUCCCUGAGGUUUUAUAUCCUUCCUCAGUUUUUCAUUGGAGUGUUUGCACCCAAGCAAUUGACAGUUGGCAUGCCUGCCUGGAAGUCAGCCCACGGCAGCACUUCCACAAAAAUGGAACUCUAUUUUGCUGCCACCAUCUUUUUUUUGUUGACUGUGGAAUCUCUGCUACCAUCAUCAGGAUUUGAGCUCUAGGGGGAGACAGAAAAUGACAGCCUGCUGGCUGGCAGGACACUGAGGGUGGUUAUCAACGUUGUGCAAGUAGACUUGGAACACAGGAAUUUCAUUCUAUUUUAUCCCAUUAUUUUUUGUGGGUUUUAUUCCUUCUGUUUUUGCCCCUUGAGCCUCUCCUUCUCAGCCUUUUCCCACCCACUAUGUGUUUACGUCUCAUCACUGCUUGCUGACGACGGUGUGGAAGUGGUGGAGAUGAGGCAGCAAGGGUGGGGUGGGCUGGUUGUGGAGAGCUCUGCUCGUGUCAUUUUGGGUCCUGGAGGGACAUGGACAUUCCUGGGGUCAGAAUAUUGCUGAGUGUGACCCUGUGGGUGACCGGGGCUCCAAAAUGAAAGUGCAUCCCCCGAGUGUGCUCCCAGCUCCUUCCUGCUGCACUGAUCAACCCCUGGGGUGGGUUUUCUGGGCUCUCUGUUCUGUUCAUUGAUCUGUGUGUUUUAUUUUUGUGGAGAUUUAUGAUGUAAUUGGGGAAUGUAUUGUAAACUUUUCUGGGGCUGACACCUCCCUCCCCACCCCAGGUCUAGCAGGCAGGAAGGCAGAGUCGUGUCCCAGUCUCCCAGGGUGCAGGUUCUGACACAGUGGGUUGCGUGGUGCCUGGGCUCUGCAUUUCUCACAUGGGUUCUGAGAUUCUGCCUCUGCUGGUCAUGGCCUAACAUGUGAAGGCUGAGGUGUCACUUACCUGUUGUGCAGCUGACGUGGCCAUUCAGAGCCUGGAAGAGGAAAAUUUCACCCCUGGAAAUUGCCUUAUCAGGCGACUUUAGACUCUCCCUUGAAUAGAAUCCAGGCUUUCCUGAGCCUUGAGUAACCAGGAGCAACAUGGCCUGCCACAUUCUGGCUACAAGUAUUUGAUUUUCUAACAUGGUUAUUAUUAACCUAUUCAGUGUAUUGAAACCUGUGACCAUCUCUGCAUCACUAAGGGACACCCCUGAGAUUCCUGCAGCAGGGACAGCUGUACGCUAUCACCAAUGGGGAUGGAAGAUCCUUCAUGGGGAAUCAUCUGAGACACUGAAGGGCCCAUUCUUUUUUUUUAAGAUUUUUUUUAUUUAAAUAUUUUAUUUUAUAUAAUUCUUACAUCUUUUUUUUUCAUCUUUGCACAAUGUAUGCAUUUUCAUUUUGGUUAUAUUCCCUAUACAAUUGCACCUCCCCCCUUAUUUUGACUCUAGUCCUUCCUUUCCCUGCCCCUCCCCCCCAGUGUGUCUAUGGUUUACAGUUUCUUGUUGAUUUUGAUUUUUACUUUAUAUUGAUUAGUCUUUUUCCUGGUCUCUUAUUUAGGUUUUCUAAAUUCCUGCUAUAAGGGAGACCAUCCGGUAUUUUUCUUUUUCUUUCUAACUUAUUUCACUGAGCAUGAUUGAAGGGCCAAUUCUUAAGUUCUUGAGAUGUUUUCUCUAUUGAUAUCUGGUGCAAAGAGGAUCCCUCCUGUUUUAGAGAGUGAAUGAGCUACAAUCACCCAUUCAACUGGAAAGUGGACAUUUUGUAGAUAAUCUACUUACUUUUUAAUAGUUAUAAUCUGUUAAAGUGAUAUUACCUACAUCCUUUCAUGCUUCCUUUGCACAGAGGUUGAACUCUUCAGGUCACGAGAAAUAAAUUGAUGUUCAUUGAGCACUUGUUGGAGAUUACCUGACCCUGUGCAAGAAGUUGGUUACUUAUGUGAUCUCAUUGAUGACACUAUAGAGACAUUAUUCCUAUUCCAUAGUAGAAAAUCCUAUGUUCUAAAAGACAAUGAACUUGUGUAAGAUCAUACAAAUAAGGACAAAGGUCAGGGAUUUUGUCCGGACCAGCCGGGCAGAUCAGCGCGGUACCGGGGGAAGGAAGCAGGGUAUUGGUAUAGGACAGGGGUACACAAGGAGUGGAGACAAAGCCAGGAUCAUCGCCUGUCUCAUUUAUUCAGGAAUGUGUACAAGGUUAUAUAGGGUUCAGAGGAGGAGGUCUCUCGUUAUCUCGAACAAGGAGAGACCACCAAUGCAAACAAGCCACAAGGAGCAAGCAGGGGGCAGGGUUCAUUCGUCACAAUAGGAAACUUGAAACCUUCACUCGAGCUAACAUUCAGUACCUGCUUCAGGCAAGAACCCGGAUGUUCAGGUCUGGUCCCCGACAGGAUUUUUGUACUCCAUAUUUUUGACCGAAUCAGAAAUUGUCAAAUGAGGCUAAACGGUAAACCCGCUCAAGGCCAGGGGGAGGGGAGAAUUGUGGGAAACCCUGUGCAUCUUCAGAACAGCUCCAUGGGUGUUUGAGGUCCUUCAUAAGGAGGGAGCCUCAAGUUAAAUGAAAAAAAAAAUAAUGUAUAAUUGUGUUACAUGUGCAUGCUGACUUUAAUAUUGCACAUGAUUUAUUUGAUAGUUAUAGAAAAAACUCUAAUGCCAAAUGUGAUUGCUACUCAUAAGAGACUGCCUUUCAAAAUAGGCUUUUCUGUAAUUAUUCCCAUGCAGCAGGCUAGCUGCUGUACCUACCAGAGUGAAUUCCUGGAGAUCUAGAACAAUUGGUAAGAAAGGGAUUCCUCAGCAGCGCCUGCAAUAUUAUUCAGGAUAAGACCCCCCUUAAUUGUUAAUGUUUUGAUCUAUCUAAUCCAUACAAGUGGGAAACAUAUUAGAAACAGUGACUAGUGUCCUCAGGAUGUUGGUAUUCUUGGUGAUUGUUUUGUUAUUCAUGUUUCCUGUGUUGAUAAAUUUCUCCGUGAACUUAUGUCAUUUUGUGAUUAGAUUAAAAAAGGUUAUUUACAUAGUUCUAAAGUUUAGAUUCUUGGCUAUCACUCUUGGUAAUUCUCUUUCAGUAUGAAGAGCACAGAUCCAUUCUCUGAAAUGAUCUUGAUUAAGUUUGCCAUUACAAUGAAUCAAAUGUAAAUUGAGUGUGAAGAUAUAUGUCCUUCUUUAAAAAGAGAAUCUCGAGGGCCUCACUGGUGGCGCAGCAGUUGAACACUGGGCUGCGAAGCUGUCUGCAGCUUCUGUAGCACUGGUUUGAUCCCCGGUCAGCGGGCAAUGGUCCCAAAUGGUGCACCGAACUUUCCUGCCUGCCCGCUACUCCCCUCAGCAGUAUAUUUCAUCAGUCUGCCUGUUCUGCUCCUGUACAGGUGGAUUCUCUCACAGAAUCUCUCCCGCAAUUUUGACUGUACCCAGUGCUUGUAUAAAAAAAUAAAUAUGUCUUUAAAAGAAAGAUAAAAAAGAUAACCUGAAGAUGUGGGCAGCUCUCCUGCCUGCCUAUGACUGUGCGGGUGUUUCUUUUCACAAACGUUUUUGUUUGCAUCUCUUUCUUUUGCUUAUGUCUGUGAACUGUCCUGUACUUACCUUCACUUUUAAAUUGUCUUUUGGAUAUAAACAAUAUGCUAAACAAUUCUAUGGAGAUAAAAUAGGUCCAGUUCAUUGUGAUACAUGUCCUUAAACAUAUUGUGACAAACAUUUCUCUAUUCCAGAACCAGCUGUGAUCACCUUCAUUAGAUUUGCCAUAGUGGGCAUAGAGCCAGCUCCAAACAGCAGCCUUAGCAAAAUAUUUUUUUUUAUUUAAUUGGUAUACUUACACUGCACCAAAUAAAAGGUAGUGCAGGCACACCUUGGAGAUAUUUUUGGUUCAUUUCCUGAAUACCACAACAAACCUAAUAUUGCAUAAAUCAAGUCACUAUUUUUUUGUUGCUUUCCUAGUGCGAAUAAUUUUUUUUAACCUGUAGUGUUUACUAUUAAGUGUGCAAUGAUAUUUUGUCUAAUGUGAAAAUACCCUAAUGAGAUAUCAUUGAGACAUGAGGUGAGUAUAUACUUUUUUUUGGAAAAUAGUGCUGCUGGACUUACCACAGUCAAGGCCACCACACACCUUCAAUUUGUUAAAAGAGGUUAUCUGACAGGUGUGAAAAUGUGAAGCAAGCAGGAUGGGGGAUGCCUUUAUACACACUUCUUAGAAUGAUUCUUUGGGAUUUAAUAAAGUAUACACCCCUGGAUAAGUGGACUACAACUUAAUGAUGACGUCUGUGCAUAAAUUUUUCAUCAGUUAUGUGCCGGGGACUAGCCUCCGGCAAAAUACCGUGUCAGGGGUUCCUGAAAGGAUGAGACGGCCUCAGUGAAAACGAAUGAACUGAAACUUAGGGACUGAGGGGAAGGGAAUGAGGAGAAACCGACACUUGGUGAGGUGUUAGUAUCUUCUGCCGAAAGUUUCAGCAGGUUCUUUAUUUAUAAAUUUUUUGCAAGCAUUGCGAUUACAUUAUCAAGUGCAUAGAAACAAAGCAGAAACAAUUAGUGCAUCUCUUUUUCUGUGCUCUCAGCAAGAAGGCAACCUUCAAGGUUAAUAAAAAACUAAGUCUUACACUAAAAUUCAUUGUUUCAGCUAAACAAUAACCUAAAUCAAUUGAAAGCCACCUGUACAUCUCUACCAGCUAAAGCCUAAGCAAAGAAAAAACUUUUCUUAUUCUCAUGGCCUUCAUACCAGGGGCCGGCUGCUACUCAGCUAUCAGAACUUCCUCUACCUAGAAACUCCUUAACUCAAAUAGCUUCAUUUAAGAACUUUCCCAAGAAACUUCAAGGGAAGGCAAAAGAAGGACUUAAAAUAAUAGUUGUAUUGUAAUGCUUGUCAGACAUGUUCAAUAAACCAUCUCCCAUUGUCAAGUGAGCCAAAUUGUUUAAUAAUUAGUUUUUAAGAGAUAAUUUUCUGUGCCAUUUAUUUGCAGUAUACUGAUGCAUAUAAUGUAGUGCCUGAUGUACUUUUUGGGAAAUUUUUCUCCUUUUAUGCCCAAGAACAAAAAGUGAAGGGAUGUUAGAUCUUCAGCCCCACGGUGUGAGGCACAAGGAAUCUUCGGCCCCACGGUGUGAGGCCCUUUAGCUUUGGCCCCACGGUGUGAGGCCCUUUGUGCUUCACUGCUUGCCAGUAUUUUAUCUGGCUGGGGCAACAAGGCCUCCUGCAGCGGUUAUGUCAGCACGGGGGAGUGUGUUUUCUUUUCCAUGAUAGAAAGUUCUAUGAACACACAAAGUAGUGAACAAGGGUUAGCCAAGUGCUUGCUGUCUGCCAGGGACUGUGCUAUACACACAGCCUUCUUAAAAUUUAUUGUGGCCUUUUAAAAAUUUAAAAACCUUAUAGCUACCAUUGGAUGAAUAUCAGUUGUAAGACAGUGGUAAGUAGAAAAUAGGGGAUUUAGUUCUGAUUAUGUUAUUGAAAAGCUACAGAGGAAACACAUAUGACUUGACUUCUGGCUAAAUUGUUCCUCAGGCUGUAAUCCAUGUGUCCACAGUGAGGAAGCCAAUACUCCCUGGCAACACUCUGAUCCUUUCGCUCCCCAAACUGGACACUACUGUCAACAUUUGGGAUGAUGGUACCAUUGCUGUGCUUUGUUGAUUUGAAUCAUUGUUGCUAUUUUAGAUUUUUUUUUCUAUUUAUGCAUUUGUAUUUACUUAUGCAUACAAGAACUCUGCCACUUUCUAAUUCAAAUUUUGUUUUUCCUUCUAUUUAAAUAUUUGGUUUAUUUUUGUGUAGAAGCACUGGAGUGUAGGCCAGAGGUGUGGGGGGAUGAGAGGAUUCACCAGAGAUAGAGUGUGGAUCAGAACAGACAGAUCUACUGAAAUACACUGCUCAAGGGAGCAGCAGGCAAGACAGGAUAUGUCUGCUGUGCCCUAUGUGGGUCAGCUCCCUGGCUGGGGAUCGAAAUCAGGCAAUCUUGUGGGCCACUGUGGUGAUAGUGCUGAGACGUAAGCCCUAGGUUACCAGGGAGGCUCUCAAAGUUUGUUUUGAUAUUGGAUAAGCACAAUUAUUUGUUAAAUCAUUUUAAUGUUAUGAAAUACAAUUAUAAAUAUUUAAAAGUUAUAUAUGAAGGUGAAUGAAAAAUAUUUUCAUUAUGAAUGCGAUUGUGGGCAUUGUCUCAGAGACUUGUAAAUGUUCUCUCUGAGAACUGUAGAAUUGGUAGUAUUCUUUAGAUGCAGAUUUUGCAGUUUGAAUCCAAUUGAAAAAUUGGCAUCUUUGGUAUAAUGGAAG